RNAcentral lists this ribosomal RNA (460 nucleotides) under uncultured bacterium. RNAcentral's name for it is "partial 16S ribosomal RNA". It matches the Rfam family "Bacterial small subunit ribosomal RNA", at positions 338 to 795 of the family's 1533-position model. The record is from RNAcentral.
CCUACGGGAGGCAGCAGUGAGGAAUAUUGGUCAAUGGACGAGAGUCUGAACCAGCCACGUAGCGUGAAGGAUGACUGCCCUAUGGGUUGUAAACUUCUGUUAUAAAGGAAUAAAACGAGGCACGUGUGCCUUUUUGCAUGUACUUUAUGAAUAAGGAUCGGCUAACUCCGUGCCAGCAGCCGCGGUAAUACGGAGGAUCCGAGCGUUAUCCGGAUUUGUUGGGUUUAAAGGGAGCGUAGAUGGGUUGUUAAGUCAGUUGUGAAAGUUUGCGGCGCAACCGGAAAAUUGCAAUUGAUACUGGCAGUCUUGAGUACAGUUGAGGUAGGCGGAAUUCGUGGUGUAGCGGUGAAAUGCUUAGAUAUCACGAAGAACCCCGAUUGCGAAGGCAGCUUACUAAACUGUGACUGACAUUGAUGCUCGAAAGUGUGGGUAUCAAACAGGAUUAGAUACCCGAGUAGUC